GACGAACGCUGGCGGCGUGCUUAACACAUGCAAGUCGAACGGAAAGGCCUGCUUUCCCUUGUGGAUUGCGGGUACUCGAGUGGCGAACGGGUGAGUAACACGUGAGUGAUCUGCCCCCAACUUGGGUAUAAGCCUGGGAAACUGGGUCUAAUUCCCGAUAGGACUGCAGGGUGGUGCCUGUGGUGGAAAACGAUUUUCUAGUGGUUGGGGAUGAGCUCGCGGCCUAUCAGCUUGUUGGUGGGGUAAUGGCCUACCAAGGCGGCGACGGGUAGCCGGCCUGAGAGGGUGGACGGCCACAUUGGGACUGAGAUACGGCCCAGACUCCUACGGGAGGCAGCAAUGGGGAAUAUGGCACAAUGGGCGGAAGCCUGAUGCAGCGACGCCGCGUGGGGGAUGACGGCCUUCGGGUUGUAAACUCCUUUCGACCGCGAGGAAGCCACCUGGUUGGAAGGGUGGUGACGGUAGUGGUAGAAGAAGCACCGGCUAACUACGUG
RNAcentral lists this ribosomal RNA (494 nucleotides) under uncultured bacterium. RNAcentral describes it as "partial 16S ribosomal RNA". It matches the Rfam family "Bacterial small subunit ribosomal RNA", at positions 28 to 507 of the family's 1533-position model. The record is from RNAcentral.